GAGGAAUGAGUGGUUUAAUAAGUGAUAGGACUCAAACUGGAUCCAUGCAGUUCUUUUCAAUAAAAUGUACAUCUCUGUACUUGCAAAGAGCAGUCAAAGAAAGAAAUAGCAUUAAAGAAUGAAGCGUUGAAUCAGAAAGCAUCAAUGCAAAUCCAGCUUCAUGUGAAAACAGAGGAGCUUGAGAAGUCAAGUUUGGAUCGUUUUAGAUUGCAAGAGAGAAAUAUGGCUUUGGCUAAAGAGCUCACAGCAUUAAAAUUGAACACUGAAAUGACAAUGGAAAACCGAACUUUGUGUUUGGUGGAAUAAUGUCUUUAAUAAUUUAGGAGAUGGAAUUAUGAGUUUGGAUUUUGAACAAGCUGAGGACAACGAGCCAGUAUUGAACAUAUCCUAACCUUCAUUUUCUCAAUGUUGGUUUUCAUUUAGAUUCGUCCUUUGUUUUCAUUGAACUAGGGGAAAAAGUUAAAAAUUCGCAUGAAUUAAGAAGUAAAGUUUGAAUAAGCUUUGGACUAAUUAAAAGUUUACAUUUCUAGGGUAUGGUCAUGGACAAUGAUUGAAAUUGAAUACCAUAUCAGUAAAGGAGAAUAUGAUCCCUGAUGUUAUUAUUAUUUUUUUGUUUCUUUUUGUCCAGACUUAAAAUCUGUGUACCUAUAGCGUUCCUAGCGUGGGCGAUGCUGGUUCCUGUCAACUGAACAAGCACUGGGCUAGAAACGGCUGGGAUAAAAAACAUAACUUCCAGCGACAUUGAUAAGCUCUCAGUUUCGAAUGUCCAGCGUGGAUCUGAAAGGUUUUAGUCACACAGAGUAGCUGCUUAUGCAUUUAUCUUCUGGACAUGCUAAAUUUUGAUGAGGGAGUAUGAAAAAGUUGCCUCAAUGAGAUUACAAUUUGUUGCAGCAGAAAAGCGUUGUCCUGAUCAAUUUUCGGUGCUUGUUUGAAACAUUCCUCCAGAUCCUGAUGAAUCUGUUAGUGAGCUCGUUGAGCACUUCUUUCUGGUCAAUCAUCCGGAUAACUAUCUUACUCACCAGGUUGUUUAUAAUGCAAACAAAUUAGCAAAGUUGGUUACAAAGAAGAGUAAGCUGCAGAAUUGGCUCGUCUGUUAUCAAAAUAAACUUGACAGAACUUCAAAAAGACCUGAAAUGAAGGGAUUAGUUUUAAACUGAUGUGCUUGCAGUAUCUUUAUCAGUACCUCUUAAUGCGACAUCACUUCUCCAUUUCAAUUAUCAUUUUUGUUUUCUUUUUUGUGUAAUCUCAUUUUCUUUUAAAGUUUACAUUUCUAAAGAAUAAGCUUUGGACUAAUUAAGAAGUAAUGUUUGAAUUGCACCCUCUUUGGUGUGUCGGUAUGUUAGGAAUUAGGAUCAGGCCUUAAUUAUGAGAGUUAUGUUAGGUACUGGGUUUGGCUCGUUAAUGUCUCCUCUAACGGAUUUGCCCAUAAGCAUAUUGUAACCAAUUGUCCGAUUCGCCUAUUUAUUGUUCUAAGGCCCAAACUCAGUACCUAACAGAUUGCAUCAAGAUGGGCCAAGGAAUCAAGUUGGCAGGCCUUGUUACAGUACGCAUUGGUAUUUAGUUCAAAACUUGAUUCGUAUGGAAAGCUGAUAGAAUAGUUGAUAUAAACUAGGGGGAGUUAUUUGGCCUGGCAGAGAAGCUAGAGGGAGUUGUUUGGUUGGGAAUUCAGUUUUGGGUGGUACAUUAGGCUCUCUUAUUCUUAGGAAAAAUACUGUUGUUUCUCAUGAAUAGCUGUUGUUUAAAAGUUGGAGGACACUAAAAAAAUUUCAGGCUCGCUGGUGAUGCUACAUGGCUUCCUCAUAUUAUAAGAGGCUGAAGAAAGGUUCAAUUCUGACACAAUGCCGAUGGAGAGGACUUGUAGCCAGAAAAGAACUUAGGAACUUGAAAAUGGCUACACGAGAAACUGGCGCACUUAAAUAGGCAAAGGAUAAAGUUUGAAAAACAAGUGGAGAAACUCACAUGGCGCCUCCAACUAGAAAAAAGUUUAAGGGUGAGAUAUAUUUUUUUUGCAGUUAGAUAAAAUAUCGAGGAUGUUAUUGUUCUUUUAUUUUUCACAAACACGCCUCAAAUAUUUCGUUUAAGAAGAUGAUUACUGUUGUUUAUGAAAUUAGUUUGCAGUUUAUCACAAUAAAUGUUAAAAAAACUCA
Non-coding RNA from Cicer arietinum (chickpea), 2147 nucleotides. NCBI's taxonomy places the organism in Eukaryota, Viridiplantae, Streptophyta, Magnoliopsida, Fabales, Fabaceae. The record is from RefSeq and is a predicted model, not a curated record.